Long non-coding RNA from Terrapene triunguis (Three-toed box turtle), 539 nucleotides. RefSeq lists it as uncharacterized. The record is from RefSeq and is a predicted model, not a curated record. The transcript is spliced from 5 exons. Lineage: Eukaryota; Metazoa; Chordata; Testudines; Emydidae.
AGGAGGGGCCUGGGACCCACACACACACCCUGCACCCUCCCUCCCCCAGCCGGCUGGAGGGGGGCACCGGGCGCCUACCCCACGGAGGCCAGGAGGCUGCGCUAGAGGACGGAUGGGGACGAUGAUUGGCAGCCAGAGGGGGGACGCCGCAUGAUUGGCCGGAUUCCUGGAGAGAGUUGCAAUAGUGGUGUAUGAGGCUGUGACGGCUCCCCACGGCGCCGGGGGAGUCUCAGCCAGAAGGAGCCGCGGGGGCCGCCCGUUGCUCGCACCCCGGAGGGGGCGGAGGGGGGGACAGAGGCAUCCAGCGCAGCAGAAGUGGCUGGAUGCAUCGCACCGUGGAACAGCUGGGGGGCCGGGCCGGACGGGAUCCCUUUGCUCUCAGCAGCCUGAGCUGCGGCGGGGCCUGGAACCCCGGCCACUCCCGCCCAUGGCUCCCGGGCGGCAGGUGCUCUGCCAGCAUCGGACAGUCUCAGCUGCCCCCACAUCUCUCGUCACCUCAUGGCACUAAUAUCGGGCACCCCAACAAACCCUAUUUCCCC